RNAcentral lists this ribosomal RNA (202 nucleotides) under Clostridioides difficile. RNAcentral's name for it is "partial 16S ribosomal RNA". It matches the Rfam family "Bacterial small subunit ribosomal RNA", at positions 997 to 1199 of the family's 1533-position model. Lineage: Bacteria; Bacillati; Bacillota; Clostridia; Peptostreptococcales; Peptostreptococcaceae. The record is from RNAcentral.
UCUCCUUAAUCGGAGAGUUCCCUUCGGGGACAUUGGUGACAGGUGGUGCAUGGUUGUCGUCAGCUCGUGUCGUGCGAUGUUGGGUUAAGUCCCGCAACGAGCGCAACCCUUGUCUUUAGUUGCCAUCCUUAAGUUGGGCACUCUAGAGAGACUGCCAGGGAUAACCUGGAGGAAGGUGGGGAUGACGUCAAAUCAUCAUGCC